This 476-nucleotide ribosomal RNA is filed under the name uncultured bacterium. Its description in RNAcentral is "bacterial SSU rRNA". It matches the Rfam family "Bacterial small subunit ribosomal RNA", at positions 434 to 917 of the family's 1533-position model. The record is from RNAcentral.
UUUCGCUAGGGACGAAGCUUUUUGUGACGGUACCUAGAUAAGAAGCACCGGCUAACUACGUGCCAGCAGCCGCGGUAAUACGUAGGGUGCGAGCGUUGUCCGGAAUUACUGGGCGUAAAGGGCUCGUAGGUGGUUUGUCGCGUCGUCUGUGAAAUUCCGGGGCUUAACUCCGGGCGUGCAGGCGAUACGGGCAUAACUUGAGUACUGUAGGGGUAACUGGAAUUCCUGGUGUAGCGGUGAAAUGCGCAAAUAUCAGGAGGAACACCGAUGGCGAAGGCAGGUUACUGGGCAGUUACUGACGCUGAGGAGCGAAAGCAUGGGUAGCGAACAGGAUUAGAUACCCUGGUAGUCCAUGCCGUAAACGGUGGGCGCUAGGUGUGAGGGUCUUUUCACGACUUUCGUGCCGUAGCUAACGCAUUAAGCGCCCCGCCUGGGGAGUACGGCCGCAAGGCUAAAACUCAAAGGAAUUUGACGGA